Molecule: long non-coding RNA, 629 nt
Organism: Odocoileus virginianus texanus
Lineage: Eukaryota; Metazoa; Chordata; Mammalia; Artiodactyla; Cervidae
Source: RefSeq, a predicted model, not a curated record
CUGCAUCGUCAUGUGGGUUUUUAACCACAAGUGCCACCUGAUUGUUGAACCACUAGACUAUGAGUCGGGGAUGUGGAGCAAUGAAGAGAAUUGGGCAAGAACAAUAACACAGAUGCAGCCCAGUGCUAGGACAGCCUACAAAAGAAGCUCAAUCCUGACGAGACAACUACUAGAAUCUCUGAUGCUCACCAGAGCUGCUACUGACGCACGUGGUACGAUUCUGGUAUUCUUAACGGCGGUGUAAGCAGGGCAGUGGUGGUACUGAUAAGACUACUUUUUCAUCUUCCUCCGUCCCUCAUGCAACUUUAAAUGCAUUUGCAUUCAUGAUGGCAACCUAAAAAUUUCUCAACCUCGUGAGUCUUUGUUCCUUCAAAAGAGUUUGUCUCACAUCAGGGCAAAGUGUAUUCCAGAAAAUGCAGAGAGAGUCCUAGAAUGGAAUACAAGAAAUGACUGUAUAUCAGCCAUUUAUAAAAUGUGCUCACGAAGGGCAGGGGAAGAGGAAGCUGUGUCUGGACCUUCCUCCAAUUAAGCCAUGAAGCUCUCCUUCUACUCUUGCACUUGUUUAUGCUUCUGGGUGAGAUAUACCUGCAGGAGACCUCUUCAGCUUUAAAAUAAUAAUUUGUACAAGG